GAUGAACGCUGACAGAAUGCUUAACACAUGCAAGUCUUUGGCAAAGCUGUGCUUGCACAGCCUAGCCAAGGCGGACGGGUGAGUAACGCGUAAGGGACUUGCCCUGCAGUCAGGGAUAACAGACGGAAACGACUGAUAAGACCUGGUAAAGUCAGGCGGACUCAUGUCCAGCCUGAUGAAAAGGAAUGCUGCAGGAGAGCCUUGCGUCCUAUUAGCUUGUUGGUGGGGUAACGGCCCACCAAGGCGAUGAUAGGUAGCCGGCCUGAGAGGGUGGACGGCCACAAGGGGACUGAGAUACGGCCCUUACUCCUACGGGAGGCAGCAGUGGGGAAUAUUGGACAAUGGGGACAACCCUGAUCCAGCAAUUCUGUGUGCACGAUGAAGGUCUUCGGAUUGUAAAGUGCUUUCAGCAGGGAAGAAAAAAAUGACGGUACCUGCAGAAGAAGCGACGGCUAAAUACGUGCCAGCAGCCGCGGUAAUACGUAUGUCGCGAGCGUUAUCCGGAAUUAUUGGGCAUAAAGGGCAUCUAGGCGGCCCUGUAAGUCUAGGGUGAAAACCUGCGGCUCAACCGCAGGCCUGCCCCGGAAACUACAGGGCUAGAGUGCUGGAGAGGUGGACGGAACUGCACGAGUAGAGGUGAAAUUCGUAGAUAUGUGCAGGAAUGCCGAUGAUGAAGAUAGUUCACUGGACGGUAACUGACGCUGAAGUGCGAAAGCUAGGGGAGCAAACAGG
This 732-nucleotide ribosomal RNA is filed under the name uncultured Leptotrichia sp. Its description in RNAcentral is "bacterial SSU rRNA". It matches the Rfam family "Bacterial small subunit ribosomal RNA", at positions 28 to 776 of the family's 1533-position model. The record is from RNAcentral. Lineage: Bacteria; Fusobacteriati; Fusobacteriota; Fusobacteriia; Fusobacteriales; Leptotrichiaceae.